Molecule: microRNA, 21 nt
Filed under: Gorilla gorilla (western gorilla)
Lineage: Eukaryota; Metazoa; Chordata; Mammalia; Primates; Hominidae
Also listed under: 1 other name
Description: ggo-miR-3127
Source: miRBase by way of RNAcentral
AUCAGGGCUUGUGGAAUGGGA